GCCCCACAACCUCGCUUCGUCUUCUUCCUUCCUUCUCUCCACAAUCGCGCCAUAAUCUUGCUCCACAACCUCGUCGUCUCACCGGAUGACCACACCAUCUCCGCCCUUCUCCUCCUCGGCCGCCGCCCCUCUCUUUUCCCACCACCAUCGCCGCCCCUCGUUACAUACUACCAGAUCUGUCCAUCUUGUUAAUCGUCUUCUCACUCACUGACGAGAUCCGCUUACCCACGAAUUUGGUAAGUUUUCCCAAAACGCCAAACGAUUUGUCUCAUUGCCUCUAUAUUUUGUCGGCAAAUAGAUAAGUUCACCGCGGUUCUCUUUCUCGUCGACGGUUGUUGAUUAUAAGGUAUGCGAAAAUACUUCGUCGCUUUAGGUUUUUUGAUUUUUCAUCCCAUGAUUUCAUAUUUUUUUUUAUAUAAAUUCUUCUGAUUUCAAACAUGUUUUGGUUUUGAAAUUGGAUAAUGUCUUAUUUCAAACAUGUUUUGGUUUUGAAAUUUGAUAAUUUUUAGUAAGAAAUACAAUACGAAUUAAUAAGGUGAAGCACUAAAUAUUAUCGAAAAUUCCAUAAUUUCCAAAAAUAUUUUCAAAUUUUGGAUAUUUUUUUUCUGAAAAUUUAGAAUUAUAAUUUAUUUAUUGUAUUUUUUAGCUACAAUUGGCUAUUGUUUGGAUGCUAUUUUGCUGCUGUUUUUUGCUGCUGUUUUUUCUGCUGUUUUUUGCUGCUGUUUUUGCUGCUGUUUUCUUUUGGCUUUGCUGCUGUUUGGCUCCUAAUUUGCAGCUGAUUUUGUUGCUGUUUUGCUGUUGUUUUCGUGUUGCUUUGCUGCUGUUUUAAGAUGUUGGUUUGCUGCUAUUUUUUUGCUAUCAUUUUUUCUUUAUAUCCAUAAAUAAAUUCUACAAAAUAGAAGUGACAACUAGUUGAAUUGUUGAAUGAGCUAUUAUAUAUAUGAGAUUUUCAAUAUACUUUUGAGGCUCCUUCAUGUUUUCGGUCACUAUUUGAAUAUUUGUUAUUAUACUGUUGUUGUAAUUUUUUAGUGGAUUAACUUAUUUCGUAGUGGAUUAUGUUAAUAUUUUAGUGGAUUUCGAUAAUUUUUGUAGUGGGUUUUGGCGAGAUUGUAGUGGAUUUUAAAUUCUUGCUUUGGAGACCGAAUUUUAGUGAAUGAAUUAAAUUGACACGUUGUUGUCUUAUUUUUCUUUGGUUUAGGUUCUUGCACAAGCGGGUGAUGGCAGCAAGUGAGACGAUGUUGGGUGAUGAUAAGUUUGUAGUGUUUAUCACCGGGUCACUCUAACCUAACGAAAACCACGAGCAACACUAUCAUAAAUUCGGAAGCUUGUAGUGAAUUUUGAUAAGUUUGUUGUUGAUGCAUAAGUGUUUUUCUACGAUAUUUUUUUAGUGGAUUAACCAUAUAUUACGUUAAUUUUGUAGUGGAUUACUUUAAUCUAUAAAGUGGAUUUUGAUAACUUUGUAGAGGAUUUUGAUAAUUUUGUAAUGGGUUACGUUAGUUCGUAGUGGAUUAUGUAAAUUUAUAUUCAAUUUCAUAAUGAUUUCUACGUUAAUCGAA
This 1556-nucleotide long non-coding RNA is filed under the name Erythranthe guttata (spotted monkey flower). Its description in RNAcentral is "long non-coding RNA (EGUT_LNC001166)". The record is from RNAcentral. Lineage: Eukaryota; Viridiplantae; Streptophyta; Magnoliopsida; Lamiales; Phrymaceae.